Octodon degus (degu) is the source of this 722-nucleotide long non-coding RNA. RefSeq lists it as uncharacterized. Lineage: Eukaryota; Metazoa; Chordata; Mammalia; Rodentia; Octodontidae. The record is from RefSeq and is a predicted model, not a curated record. The transcript has 3 exons.
GGGCGGCGGAACCCGCACAUCCGCCUCGCACAGCCCUGCCCCACCGUGUGUUAUGCUCUGGGCCCUGCUGGCCUGCAACGUGGGCUGCCUCUGCCACUCGGAGGGGAGCUCUUGACUUUGUCCCUUGGUGUGGGUGGCCUUCCUAUUCCAAACAGAGGCUGGAGAUGCAGAGGCAGGAGUGAGGCUGUUCCCAGAGCCACUCGGCUGUACCUUGUUUGAACUCAGGGACACCGGACUAAGACCUGCUUUCUGUCAUAAAAGCUCUGGAAACGUGUGUGUGUGUGUGUGUGUGUGUGUGUGCGUGCACAUACGCUAUGCACAGCUUUGCACUGUGUACCUCACCUGAGCUAGCCCACCUGGCCAUCUCAACAACACCGCUGGCAGGUGUGACACCGCUAUGACAGAGAAGGAGGCUGAGAUUCAGAGCAGAAGGCCUCCUGGGCUCUUCAGAACUCCUGGGCUGCCUCAGCAGAGGCCUUGCUCGUCUCCUGCCGCACAGCUGGGGCAGUACGCCACUGCGGACACAGAAAGGCCGGCUCAGUCCCUCCUGGGACGGUCAUACUGUAGCCACAGAAAUACCAACUGGGAAGUCUUAUGUGACACAGCAACAAAAGAUUUAACAGCGAGCCUGCGGGAACCCUGACCUCCAGCCACACUGCGGAGGCCCAGCUGGUGCUGGCAGCACAGCAGGGACUGCGGCCUGGAGAGAGGCGCACUCAGCC